RNAcentral lists this ribosomal RNA (402 nucleotides) under uncultured bacterium. RNAcentral's name for it is "bacterial SSU rRNA". It matches the Rfam family "Bacterial small subunit ribosomal RNA", at positions 355 to 774 of the family's 1533-position model. The record is from RNAcentral.
UGGGGAAUCUUGCACAAUGGGGGCAACCCUGAUGCAGCGACGCCGCGUGAGCGAUGAAGCCCUUCGGGGCGUAAAGCUCUUUCGACCGGAACGAUAAUGACGGUACCGGGAGAAGAAGCUGCGGCUAACUACGUGCCAGCAGCCGCGGUAAUACGUAGGCAGCAAGCGUUGUUCGGAGUUACUGGGCGUAAAGAGUGCGUAGGCGGUUUUCUAAGUUCGGUGUGAAAUCUCCCGGCUUAACUGGGAGGGUGCGCCGAAGACUGGGAAGCUGGAGUGUGGGAAAGGCAGGCGGAAUUCCUGGUGUGGCGGUGAAAUGCGUAGAUAUCAGGAGGAACACCGGCGGUGUAGACGGCUUGCUAGACCAUAACUGACGCUGAGGCACGAAAGCGUGGGUAGCAAACA